UUUUUAUUGAAUGUUACUGUUGCGUAUUGCGCUUUUAUUGAAAGUUAACGUUAAUUAGGUACACAAAAUUAACGUUUCAAUAAAAGUGUAACACGUGACGAUCAACGUUG
This is a non-coding RNA of Glycine soja, 110 nucleotides long. Lineage: Eukaryota; Viridiplantae; Streptophyta; Magnoliopsida; Fabales; Fabaceae. The record is from Rfam.